AGAGCGAACGCUGGCGGCAGGCUUAACACAUGCAAGUCGAGCGGGCGUAGCAAUACGUCAGCGGCAGACGGGUGAGUAACGCGUGGGAACGUACCUUUUGGUUCGGAACAACACAGGGAAACUUGUGCUAAUACCGGAUAAGCCCUUACGGGGAAAGAUUUAUCGCCGAAAGAUCGGCCCGCGUCUGAUUAGCUAGUUGGUGAGGUAACGGCUCACCAAGGCGACGAUCAGUAGCUGGUCUGAGAGGAUGAUCAGCCACAUUGGGACUGAGACACGGCCCAAACUCCUACGGGAGGCAGCAGUGGGGAAUAUUGGACAAUGGGCGCAAGCCUGAUCCAGCCAUGCCGCGUGAGUGAUGAAGGCCCUAGGGUUGUAAAGCUCUUUUGUGCGGGAAGAUAAUGACGGUACCGCAAGAAUAAGCCCCGGCUAACUUCGUGCUAGCAGCCGC
Molecule: ribosomal RNA, 448 nt
Filed under: uncultured bacterium
Lineage: Bacteria
Description: SSU rRNA
Rfam family: Bacterial small subunit ribosomal RNA
Source: RNAcentral